CUCAAAGGAAUUGACGGGGGCCCGCACAAGCGGUGGAGCAUGUGGUUUAAUUCGAUGCAACGCGAAGAACCUUACCUACUCUUGACAUCCAGAGAACUUAGCAGAGAUGCUUUGGUGCCUUCGGGAACUCUGAGACAGGUGCUGCAUGGCUGUCGUCAGCUCGUGUUGUGAAAUGUUGGGUUAAGUCCCGCAACGAGCGCAACCCUUAUCCUUUGUUGCCAGCGGUCCGGCCGGGAACUCAAAGGAGACUGCCAGUGAUAAACUGGAGGAAGGUGGGGAUGACGUCAAGUCAUCAUGGCCCUUACGAGUAGGGCUACACACGUGCUACAAUGGCAUAUACAAAGAGAAGCGACCUCGCGAGAGCAAGCGGACCUCAUAAAGUAUGUCGUAGUCCGGAUUGGAGUCUGCAACUCGACUCCAUGAAGUCGGAAUCGCUAGUAAUCGUAGAUCAGAAUGCUACGGUGAAUACGUUCCCGGGCCUUGUACACACCGCCCGUCACACCAUGGGAGUGGGUUGCAAAAGAAGUAGGUAGCUUAACCUUCGGGAGGGCGCUUACCACUUUGUGAUUCAUGACUGGGGUGAAGUCGUAACAAGGUAAC
This 600-nucleotide ribosomal RNA is filed under the name uncultured bacterium. RNAcentral's name for it is "bacterial SSU rRNA". It matches the Rfam family "Bacterial small subunit ribosomal RNA", at positions 900 to 1500 of the family's 1533-position model. The record is from RNAcentral.